GACUACCAGGGUAUCUAAGCCUGUUUGCUCCCCACGCUUUCGUGCAUGAGCGUCAGUACAGGUCCAGGGGAUUGCCUUCGCCAUCGGUGUUCCUCCGCAUAUCUACGCAUUUCACUGCUACACGCGGAAUUCCAUCCCCCUCUACCGUACUCUAGCUAUACAGUCACAAAUGCAGGUCCCAGGUUGAGCCCGGGGAUUUCACAUCUGUCUUAUAUAACCGCCUGCGCACGCUUUACGCCCAGUAAUUCCGAUUAACGCUUGCACCCUACGUAUUACCGCGGCUGCUGGCACGUAGUUAGCCGGUGCUUAUUCUUACAGUACCGUCAUGAGCCUCUAGUGUUAUUAAAGACUUUUUCGUUCUGUACAAAAGCAGUUUACAACCCGAAGGCCUUCGUCCUGCACGCGGCAUUGCUGGAUCAGACUUUCGUCCAUUGUCCAAAAUUCCCCACUGCUGCCCCCCGUAGG
Molecule: ribosomal RNA, 465 nt
Filed under: uncultured Comamonadaceae bacterium
Lineage: Bacteria; Pseudomonadati; Pseudomonadota; Betaproteobacteria; Burkholderiales; Comamonadaceae
Description: partial 16S ribosomal RNA
Source: RNAcentral